UUUAUAUGAGAGUUUGAUCCUGGCUCAGGAUGAACGCUGGCGGCGUGCCUAAUACAUGCAAGUCGAACGAGUUCUCGUUGAUGAUCGGUGCUUGCACCGAGAUUCAACAUGGAACGAGUGGCGGACGGGUGAGUAACACGUGGGUAACCUGCCCUUAAGUGGGGGAUAACAUUUGGAAACAGAUGCUAAUACCGCAUAGAUCCAAGAACCGCAUGGUUCUUGGCUGAAAGAUGGCGUAAGCUAUCGCUUUUGGAUGGACCCGCGGCGUAUUAGCUAGUUGGUGAGGUAAYGGCUCACCAAGGCGAUGAUACGUAGCCKAACUGAGAGGUUGAUCGGCACAUUGGG
Molecule: ribosomal RNA, 345 nt
Filed under: Lacticaseibacillus paracasei
Lineage: Bacteria; Bacillati; Bacillota; Bacilli; Lactobacillales; Lactobacillaceae
Description: bacterial SSU rRNA
Rfam family: Bacterial small subunit ribosomal RNA
Source: RNAcentral